Molecule: long non-coding RNA, 2330 nt
Organism: Anas platyrhynchos (mallard)
Lineage: Eukaryota; Metazoa; Chordata; Aves; Anseriformes; Anatidae
Source: RefSeq, a predicted model, not a curated record
UGAACAACUGCAGCUGUUGGUGCAACAGAGGACAGUUGCGUCUUUGUUUCUGUGCUUGUUUUUAUGGCACUGAUAAAAAUCCCGCCUCACAAUGGCAGGUUAGUGUGUGCUUGGUAAAUAUGGCUGUUCUUCAUCACUUGGUAUUGCUAUGUGCUAAAAACAGGGCUUUAACUUGACUGUGGUAUCAGGACUUGCUGACAUUUUGCAUAAGAUGAGAAACAAGACGUGCCAGACCAGGUUAGAGGUGAAACUGAAAAUUCCCAGGGUUUCCUGUUUGCUUGUAAAAAUCCAGCAUUCAGAGAACCUUCUAGUUCAGCUCUUCCCUGCUGGCAUGACCAGAUGCGAGAGUUAGACUUGUAGAGAUGAAUUUAUGGGCAAUGAACAUUGUCUUGUGCAACGUGAUUUUAGUUUGAAUCACGCAGGGCUGUUGGUAAUUGAUUUUUCUGUGGAAUUUAGUGGAAGCGGAGCCCCCUGCGUGCCACUGGAAGCCUGGUUCUUGUUGUCCUCUCCUGUCUCUCAGGCACAGGGCCCAUAUUUCAUUUCCAAUCCAACAGCAGUGGUCCCUCCAAGGCCAGGAGAGCACCAAGCGCGUGUGAGCAGUGGUUUCUGUGGGAGCUUGGGCUCCAGGGCUGUGCCACGCAGCGGGAAAGGAGUUUGUGGUUCGGUCGGGAGGCCUCAGGUGGGCCUUUCAAGGGCACCCUCGGAGUGAGGAGCAGCCUUGGAGCUCCUGGCAGGGGCCUGCCUGCUGCCUGCUCGGCUGUGGGUGUAUGGCACUGCGCCACCUGGCCAAACCAGCGAUUAAUUGUGCUCAUCUGUAAGCUGUGUUUUUUUUGCUUAUCUGCAAGCCGCCACCUGGCUGAGGUUGCACGGGUUUGCUACCAACAGAUGGCAGUAGGUGUUCGUGUCUGGAAGUGCGUUUAAAGCAAGAGCUGGGGCCAGCUGCUGCCAGACAAGUGGGAUGUAAGGGGAUGGUGAGGUGCUCAGGGACGAGAAGGAAACCAUGAAUUUCUGAAAAGUUGCAGAAAAGUUGCUCUGCCUCCCCUGAGUAAGGUGCUGUGUCUCCUUCAGUUGAAAAACUCGUAACAGAAAUGGUCAAGAGAAUGGAAAUUGGUUUGUUUUGUUUUGCUUUUAUCUAGUAUCUGCCAAAUUAGCCUUUUUCAGACUGCACCAUAAGCUAGCUCUCCGACAUCUCCCCCACCUCAGUCCAAGCUUUUAGGUUUAGCUGGCAGACUUGGGGAUUUUUGUCCUAAGCCAAUUUUGAAUGCUCUUUUUAGCCCCCUCCACGUAUGCUCAAACCAGAAAUGCUGCUGUCCUCAGGAGCACGCAAAAUUAGCGGUUUCUGUUUAUUUUAUUUUAUUUUAUUUUAUUUUAUUUUAUUUUAUUUUAUUUUAUUUUAUUUUAUUUUAUUUUAUUUUAUUUUAUUUUAUUUUCCCCCUCAGCUAUCCCUAGUGCUAGCUAGCAUGGAUUUGUCAGCUGUCCUGAGGCCGAUGUUUCAAAAUAAGCAGGUACACAGCAGAUGUGUGCGAGAGGGAAGCCGGGGGUGUUCGCUGUGCAGGUGAGAGCUCGAGGAGCUGGGACUGGGCUCUGCGUAGGAGCGGUGUGGUCCCAGUGGGCAUCCAGUGCUAGCCAAGAGCUGACUGUUUCUGUGUGCAAACCGGGUGUACUUACACAAUGUCUGCCUAUCUCCUCACUAGCCAGCUGCAUCUAAAAUAAGACAGAGACGCUUUACCAGUGAAACAGUGUUUAAUAUAGUUAAAUUACUUAAAUAGAUUUCAAUUUCCAUGGGAAAUCAUAACUGUAUCCAUUUUUGCAAGAUCCAGAGUAAAGAGUGUGUGAAUACCCCUUGAAAUGAUCAUGACACACUGUCAACAAUCACAGCUAGAGAUACCGGGGACUUGAAAUUUCAUUGACAACACAACUUCAUAAGAUGAAUCAAAAGGUGGCCAAAGAGUUUGCUGAUACCAGCUCUAGAGUCGCUGUGUGAAAUUUCAACUGCGUUGCGUUUGUAAGAUUCACUGCCGAAAAGUGAUUCUUCUCCCGUUCACAAUCUCCUGUAAUGCAAAUUCCAUCUCUGAGCGAUGCUGCAGUUGGCGCUAACUGACCGGAGGCCCUUCAUUUAGAAAGUAGGUGGUCAUUUCUCCUUUGCCUUUGACCUUAAUGACCCCUCGAUAUUCCAGCUGGUAGUUGUUGGCUGCUAGAACCUGGUACAUGUCUGUGGUUACCUGCAAAAUAAACAAGAAUAAGUGUACGCUUGUCAUGCUUUUCAUGUAAUCUUUUCACUUCCUUCUGGAGUCCUCAGGUAAAAUUAAAGUAGGAUCAAUUGUUUUGUU